This 372-nucleotide ribosomal RNA is filed under the name uncultured organism. RNAcentral's name for it is "bacterial SSU rRNA". It matches the Rfam family "Bacterial small subunit ribosomal RNA", at positions 526 to 896 of the family's 1533-position model. The record is from RNAcentral.
CGUAGGGUGCGAGCGUUAAUCGGAAUUACUGGGCGUAAAGCGUGCGCAGGCGGUUUUGUAAGACAGAUGUGAAAUCCCCGGGCUCAACCUGGGACCUGCAUUUGUGACUGCAAGGCUAGAGUACGGUAGAGGGGGAUGGAAUUCCGCGUGUAGCAGUGAAAUGCGUAGAUAUGCGGAGGAACACCGAUGGCGAAGGCAAUCCCCUGGACCUGUACUGACGCUCAUGCACGAAAACGUGGGGAGCAAACAGGAUUAGAUACCCUGGUAGUCCACGCCCUAAACGAUGUCAACUGGUUGUUGGGUCUUUACUGACUCAGUAACGAAGCUAACGCGUGAAGUUCGACCGCCUGGGGAGUACGGGCCGCAAGGUUG